Oxyura jamaicensis (ruddy duck) is the source of this 4467-nucleotide long non-coding RNA. RefSeq lists it as uncharacterized. Lineage: Eukaryota; Metazoa; Chordata; Aves; Anseriformes; Anatidae. The record is from RefSeq and is a predicted model, not a curated record. The transcript has 3 exons.
GAGAGGAGCACCCGAGUGAGAGAGAGACACGAAGCUCUGACUUGCUAAGCCAUCCCCACAUCACAGUGUUGGUCCUCUACUUUUGGUGGUGUGAAUUCAUGCAGAAGAAGGACAGUACAGGUUGUCCCACUUCAAGGUACUGCAGAAUUGAAAGAUGAAUCAUUAAGAGUGUGGAAAGGUGCACAUCUGAGCAGAGAGCGGAAAAAACUGUUCAACUAACAGAAGGAGUUUAAAAGUGUCUAGAAAAAGUUGAGAAGAACAGUUCUGGUUCUCCUGUUUUCAUAGCAUAAAAAACAAGGAGACUUAAUGGCAUUAUGAUUUAGAAAAUUAAACACAGAUUAAAAGAGAUACUUUUUCAACCAGUAUAAUUGUAUGGUAGUUCACUACCAAAGAACAACAUGUCUAGGGCCAAGAAACCAGCAAGAGCCAAAGAUAGCAUGCUUAGCAGAUACCAGAAGUGUUACUGCAUCAUCCACUCUCUAGAACUUUGGAAAAGCUGUUUUGUUUAAAGCCAGGACCCUGAAUUUAAACAUUUUCCAGAAGUCAGAAUGAGAUCUGCCAUUAAGGAAGGGUUCUCUCAACUCUGUGCAGAUAAGAUAACUUGCUAUUGCUUGACCAGCAUCAAACACCGGGCUUGACAGACCCCAGUUCCCAUUGGGCACAAUCUGGAGCCGUAAAACAACAUGCCUCACCGGCCUCAACACCGGUGUUACAAAUGUGAGGAGGCAGCUACGGGAGAGAGAUGCCCAUCUCCCGCUACCGUGCUGAUGAGGCUUCUGUAGAAAAGAAGAAAAAGCUCUCAAGACUGGUAAUUAGAAUAUCCGUUUUCAAAAAGCCCGAAGUGUAAAGGCUGAUAGAUGAGCAACUGCACACAUCAAAAAGAUGAACCGGCUCUGAACCUUUGAGCUAUAUGAAUCAGGGAAGUGCUUACUGUCAUUUAAACAGCCCAAGACCACGUCUGUAUUAGCAAAUACAAAACAUACAGGGUUUCUAGAUGUUCAGAAAAUGCAAGACCAUCAGGGUAUCCUGGAAGAUGGGAGUACACAGCGAUUAGCUUCCCUCUAGGGAAAGCCAGUGCGGGGAAGAAGAAAUAUCAGGAAAAUUGUGUGGGGAGAAGCAGAAAGAAAAAGGGUUUUCUUUGCCAUUUUAUCUCCUUCUGGAGUGUUUACUUACCUUCCCAACCCUCGUUUUAAUCCUCCCCCAUACUGAUUCUCCCUCAGCCAAUUUACAUCCCAGGUCACUUGCUUUUAUACUGCCUCACUCUUUCUUACCAGCAAUAAUCUGUCCCUAUUUGUGAAAUGGGUGAGCUGAGCAACAGCUAGUGGCAUCAGGGCAGGGUUUCUACCUAAAGCGUACAUUUUGCUGUAGAAUUGUACUUCUCAAAAGCCGUACUUAGUUUCAGAUACCAGCAUGAUGGGCGAUAUAGUCUCUUAGAAAAGCAGUGCUCUAAAGUUUAAAUAUAUAUAUAUAUAAAAUCACAGAAAGGAACAACAUAGAUGCAAACCUGUCUUCUCCAUAGACAAAUGCAUCUCAUCGUCUUCAUGUAUGUUGUGCUGCCUUGCCAGUUAUUCCUAUUCUGUUCUCUAUGUAAAAUAAGUGUUCUAAUACACUUUUGAUUGAAAUGAUAAUACAACUACACCUGCAUUUGCAACUGAAAGUCUUCUGGCAAUCUAGGUAGAGAACAUGACAUCAAAGCAGGAGGACUCUUUUGAAGGGGGUAGGCAGAACCUAAGCAAGCUCUAAAAUAAAAGCCAGAUACAAGCUCUUUCCUAAAAAUACAGAAAAAGGAAAAGUGUAAUAACAAGCACCAUGGGUUUUAUUUGUGGACCCAUCCUGGUUCUAUGUUGUGGUGUAACACACAUCCAAAUUCACACUUCCUAAGUCAUUCAUAAGACAUCCACAAGACUUAUUUGACCUUUACUUUUUAGGUCUUUUAAAAGGAACGAUCUGACAGUUUGUUGUCUCUGGAUUAGCUCAAGCACAGCACAGAAAACACGUCUAUUCAGAAUUCUAAAUCUUAUGAUAUCACAAACAGGACAGAUUUCACAUAAUUGUGUAAGCCUUCUGGGUUUUCCUUUAUCAGCUUGGAUAUGUCUAACUUUAAGCUCCAAAUGACAAGGAUUAGCAAUGUGUUUGUGCUGGCAUCACUUCAGAAGUGGCUGUGUGUAGAUUUUUCCAUUCCAAUAUACCUAAAAAUUAAGCCAUCGUAUUUGAAGCAAAACCGUGCCAAGUAAAACUUAUCUGCAUUCAUUACAAAAUUAGAGCUCCUAGCAAGGUUCAUGAACUUUUCUGCAUAAAGCUCAGAUCAGGUGCAAACGUAUCUGGGAUAUUUUGUUUGUUUUAAAGUCAAGCUGCACCUAACCAGGGCCAGAUGCAAAAUACAAGGUUUAGCGUAAUGAAGCAGAAUUCAGCAGGUUCAGCGGAUUUCUGCCCAAGCAGUGAGUUUUGGAAUGUGUUUAAACAAAUUCAGAAUAAACGCCAGGGAGAAAAUUAAGAGUGUUAAAAUUUUCACAUAUCAAAGAAAAAGCUCACAAAGUGAAUAAAAUCAAAGUAUCAAAUGGCAAUUUUCUGCUCCUUGUUGUGGGCUUUGGAUGAGGCUUAUGCCAAGUUCACAUUUCUUGUGACUUUGGACAGAAAAAAGGUCAAGUUAUAUCUUCUUGUUUCUUGAGUAAAACAAACAUGCUUUAUUUUUUAUAUCACAAUUUCAAAAGUAGCAAGAAAAUUACAUGGUAAAGGUGAGCAAUUUGGAGAUAAAACUCUGCAAAGAAGAUUUUUUUUUUUAUGAAAGAUUUAUUGCAGCCUUUACAUCUUCUCUCCCCACUCAAUUUUCCUUACUGUAUUUCAUCUGUUCUCAUUCCAGUAAGUACCUUUGUGAUUCUUUAUUGUGAGGCUGUGAAGCAUAAAUACCAAUUGGUAAGACACUGAAAUAAAAACGGUUCUGCAAUAUCAGAAUAGAGUUCCCUAGCCUCCCAGAAAGUAUGUUUUCACUUUAGUCUCUUCAGUUUGAGCUUGUCUAGCUCCACUGAGAUCCUGUCUAAUAUGAGUUUUUUUGUGAUUAAUAUCAACGCCAGGUUGGUAGGCGCUUUGGACAGCCUGGUCUAGUAGAAGGUGUCUGUGUCCAUGGCAGGGGGUUGGAACAGGAGGGUCUUUAAGGUCUUUUCCAACCCAAACCAUUCUAUGAUUAAACCGACGCUUACAUCUACAUCUUCCUAUAAAGAAAGUAAGUAUUAAAAAAUGUUAUUUUUUGAGGAGUGAGGUGCUUGCUGCUGGUGGUCAGCUUUCAACACCUCCUAAGUAAGUCUUUAAUUCUAGUCUUGUAGCAGAUCUUGUAACAACAGUCAGCAUCUCUCUCAAAAUCGUGCACUGGAUAUAUAUGCAAUGCUCCGAUUCUCUACUGUAAAUAAUGAACCCUGGUACUAAGGUGAAAAAAGAAAGUCUCUUGCACAGAGACAGACUAACUGAUGUGAUUGUUACACAUAACAUCACUGUCACUUGAGCAAGAAACUAGCAUCAUCAUAAUUUAAGCUUCCGUCGUCUUUGGAAUUGCUGUCCCAUUGAACACUCACCCAAAUCCAGUGGGACCACUAGGAGUGGAUUCUGCUGCAUGCUCCCUUCAGCCUCCCCUUUUUUCUGCCCUCUAACAUUAUUUCAAUAUGCAGAUAACAAAAAAAGAUUGUGUAGAAUGAAUUUUCCUAUGAUAGUGCUAAAUGCAAAAUUGCAUAAUCCCAUUUCAGCAUUUCUUCAAUAGGCUUUUGAUUUUAAACUUUCUCCUCCCCUUUUGAAGGUUACUAUUAAACCAAAAUUUGCACAGUAAUUCUGCUCUCUCCUCUUCCACUGAUGGUUUUCAAAGUUUUCUGAACCAUUCACGCUAUUUGUGUGUCAGUCAAAGCAGCUAGAAUACCGAAGCAAAAUGGCAUUGUCAGAAGAGACUCUUAGCACCUAUAAGACAGGCCUGUAUUCAGAGCAAACUAAAUCACAGUUUGCUGCCCAGCCAAAUCAUAAGUCACUUUUUGCCAGUUUUCCCCUUGUAAAAAUCAGUGGUAGUUUUCAGUUCCAGGUUUAUUUUUUUCUCCUUCACAGAGUCUCCGGAAGGUUGGUGAUGGAGGGCACCUUUGGAGAUCAUCUUGCCCACGCACUCUGCCUAGAGCUGUGCCAGCUACAGCAGGUUUCUCAAGGCCAUGGUCAGGCUCAUUCCUGCCCUGGCUGAUGUUUUAGCUGCUGAAAGUCUCUGCUGAACCUAGACCUCAAGGGACUGCCUAUGGGUUAAAUGCUAAGACAUACUCUUGAAGGCAUAAAUCUUUAAUUUUAUUAUUUUCUGGCCCCUGACACAAAGAAGGCACCUUUUUCAAAGCAAUUACAAUGAGUAUAUCACCCCAGAAAUCUACCACUGAGGGAGCAGUAGGCAGGAGGAUACAUUCUUGGCCCUUAAUGCAGCCACCAACACCACCUCUAUGACUGGCCACUCCA